GGGGAUUUGGCUCAGUGGUAGAGCGCUUGCCUAGCAAGUGCAAGGCCCUGGGUUCGGUCCCCAGCUCCCCCC
This 72-nucleotide transfer RNA is filed under the name Rattus norvegicus (Norway rat). It matches the Rfam family "tRNA". From Rfam's summary of the family: Transfer RNA (tRNA) molecules are approximately 80 nucleotides in length. Their secondary structure includes four short double-helical elements and three loops (D, anti-codon, and T loops). Further hydrogen bonds mediate the characteristic L-shaped molecular structure. tRNAs have two regions of fundamental functional importance: the anti-codon, which is responsible for specific mRNA codon recognition, and the 3' end, to which the tRNAs corresponding amino acid is attached (by aminoacyl-tRNA synthetases). tRNAs cope with the degeneracy of the genetic code in two manners: having more than one tRNA (with a specific anti-codon) for a particular amino acid; and 'wobble' base-pairing, i.e. permitting non-standard base-pairing at the 3rd anti-codon position. The record is from Rfam by way of RNAcentral. Lineage: Eukaryota; Metazoa; Chordata; Mammalia; Rodentia; Muridae.